Long non-coding RNA from Leptinotarsa decemlineata (Colorado potato beetle), 1087 nucleotides. RefSeq lists it as uncharacterized. NCBI's taxonomy places the organism in Eukaryota, Metazoa, Arthropoda, Insecta, Coleoptera, Chrysomelidae. The record is from RefSeq and is a predicted model, not a curated record.
GGGAAAUUAAGUGAGAGUGACGUUCACCAUAUGUUGUCAGAAUUUUUUGCUUCACAAAUAAAGGGCAACAUGAAUCCCUGUAGCUAGCCUUCCAUAAAUAUAUGAUGGAUCUUUUUUUGUAGAGAGAAUGCCAUAUUGAAACGAAAUUGUGCACAAUUUCCAAAGAAACAAAUUCCAUAACGGAAAUAGGGCUCAAUUCGUGCAAAAUAAACUGAUUUUGUAAUAGCAGUAUCUAACUCUCUUGCAUCAACUCUCAUUGCAUGGCAUCCUGCUGCUAGUCUUUUACAUAAGUAGUCAACAUGGGAAUCAACUUUUAGAUUUUCAUCAAUGUAGAGCCCUAAAAAUUUGUUUUUCUCCAACCUUUCAAUUUCUACAUUUAGAGUGUACUCCCCCAAUGUCACAUCUAAACGUGACCGCAUUUGUUUUGUCGAUGUUGAAUGAUAGAAGAUUGGAAUCGCACCACAUUUUCACCCUUCUUAUGUCAACGAUGAUUUGAUCAGGUAAAUUUGAGAUGGUAUUGCUAUGCCAGAGGAUAGUGGUGUCGUCAGCGAAACAUGUGAAUUUACCACUUACGUCAACAUGGACUAAGUCAUUAGCAUAAAUGAGAAACAACACCGGCCCCAAACCGGAAUCUUGUGGGACCUCAAAGUCAAUGAAACCUCCCUCUGAUAAAAUUCCAUCUAAUAGAACAAUCUGCCGCCGAUGGGAAAGCUUAUGAAGAAGUAGCACGUGGUCUACACAGUCGAAGGCCUUGAAUAGAUCACAAAACAUGGUCGCUGCAGAUUCUCUGUCUUUGUGUACAGGUUUUCCAGUAGUGAAAAUAUAGCAUCUUGUGCACCUUUUGAAGACUGAAUGAAAGAAAGCUUCUACUCCAUUGAAGAAUAUUUACAAAAACAAAAUGUCAUUGCACCUGUAUAAGUUGUUAUGUGUAUACCUGAAGUUAUUUUUUUAUAUAGUCUAUUUUCUUUUGAUUUUUAAUGUAGUAUUAUGAUGAAUCUUUUACAAUUUUUGUAUUGUCUGAUGUAAAAUAAAUUAUUAUUAUACUCGACUAUUGAGCAUAGUUGAAAUCGGUAAUUUUGCGAAAUUA